RNAcentral lists this ribosomal RNA (356 nucleotides) under uncultured rumen bacterium. Its description in RNAcentral is "bacterial SSU rRNA". It matches the Rfam family "Bacterial small subunit ribosomal RNA", at positions 18 to 363 of the family's 1533-position model. The record is from RNAcentral.
UUUGGCUCAGGAUGAACGCUGGCGGCGCACAUAAGACAUGCAAGUCGAACGGACUUAAUUCGUUAGUUUACUAAUGGAAGCGGUUAGUGGCGGACUGGUGAGUAACGCGUAAGCAACCUGCCUAUUAGUAGGGAAUAACAGUGAGAAAUCAUUGCUAAUACCGUAUAAGCUGGAAACAUCGCAUGAUGUAGUCAGAAAAGGAGCAAUUCGCUAAUAGAUGGGCUUGCGUCUGAUUAGUUAGUUGGUGGGGUAACGGCCUACCAAGACGAUGAUCAGUAGCCGGACUGAGAGGUUAAACGGCCACAUUGGGACUGAGAUACGGCCCAGACUCCUACGGGAGGCAGCAGUGGGGAAUA